RNAcentral lists this ribosomal RNA (515 nucleotides) under uncultured bacterium. RNAcentral's name for it is "partial 16S ribosomal RNA". It matches the Rfam family "Bacterial small subunit ribosomal RNA", at positions 28 to 523 of the family's 1533-position model. The record is from RNAcentral.
GAUGAACGCUGGCGGCGUGCCUAAUACAUGCAAGUCGAGCGAAUGGAUUGAGAGCUUGCUCUUAUGAAGUUAGCGGCGGACGGGUGAGUAACACGUGGGUAACCUGCCCAUAAGACUGGGGUAACUCCGGGAAACCGGGGCUAAUACCGGAUAACAUUUUGAACCGCAUGGUUCGAAAUUGAAAGGCGGCUUCGGCUGUCACUGAUGGAUGGACCCGCGUCGCAUUGGCUAGUUGGUGAGGUAACGGCUCACCAAGGCAACGUUGCGUAGCCGACCUGAGAGGGUGAUCGGCCACACUGGGACUGAGACACGGCCCAGACUCCUACGGGAGGCAGCAGUAGGGAAUCUUCCGCAAUGGACGAAAGUCUGACGGAGCAACGCCGCGUGAGUGAUGAAGGCUUUCGGGUCGUAAAACUCUGUUGUUAGGGAAGAACAAGUGCUAGUUGAAUAAGCUGGCACCUUGACGGUACCUAACCAGAAAGCCACGGCUAACUACGUGCCAGCCGCCGCGGUAA